Molecule: ribosomal RNA, 118 nt
Filed under: Diaphorina citri (Asian citrus psyllid)
Lineage: Eukaryota; Metazoa; Arthropoda; Insecta; Hemiptera; Psyllidae
Source: RNAcentral
GCCAGCGGCGAUAGCGCGUUGAAUGCACCAGUUCCCCACGGAUCGCUGAAGUUAAGCAACGUUGUGUGUGGUUAGUGCCUGGAUGGUGACCAUCUGGGUAAUCCGCGUGCUGCUGGAU